GAUGAACGCUGGCGGCGUGCCUAAUACAUGCAAGUCGAACGCUUCACAUCGGUGAAGAGUGGCGAACGGGUGAGUAAUACAUAAGUAACCUGGCAUCUACAGGGGGAUAACUGAUGGAAACGUCAGCUAAGACCGCAUAGGUGUAGAGAUCGCAUGAACUCUAUAUGAAAAGUGCUACGGGACUGGUAGAUGAUGGACUUAUGGCGCAUUAGCUUGUUGGUAGGGUAACGGCCUACCAAGGCGACGAUGCGUAGCCGACCUGAGAGGGUGACCGGCCACACUGGGACUGAGACACGGCCCAGACUCCUACGGGAGGCAGCAGUAGGGAAUUUUCGGCAAUGGGGGAAACCCUGACCGAGCAACGCCGCGUGAAGGAAGAAGUAAUUCGUUAUGUAAACUUCUGUCAUAGAGGA
Molecule: ribosomal RNA, 413 nt
Filed under: uncultured bacterium
Lineage: Bacteria
Description: bacterial SSU rRNA
Rfam family: Bacterial small subunit ribosomal RNA
Source: RNAcentral